This 120-nucleotide ribosomal RNA is filed under the name Microtus ochrogaster (prairie vole). The record is from RNAcentral. Lineage: Eukaryota; Metazoa; Chordata; Mammalia; Rodentia; Cricetidae.
GUCCAUGCCAUACCAUUCUGGGUAUUUGUGACUUCGUCUGAUCUCACACGCUAAGCAGGGUUGGGUCUAGUUAGUCCUUGGAUGAGAGACACCAAAAUGGAGAAAAGAUGGCUUUGGGGU